UCUGGUUGAUCCUGCCAGUAGUCAUAUGCUUGUCUCAAAGAUUAAGCCAUGCAUGUCUCAGUGCAAGCCGUCUAGUACGGUGAAACCGCGAAAGGCUCAUUAAAUCAGUUAUGGUUCCUUAGAUCGUACCCACGUUACUUGGAUAACUGUGGUAAUUCUAGAGCUAAUACAUGCCGACAGAGUUCCGACCAACUUACGAGAUUCGUCUUUGCAAGUUCGGAAGGAACGCUUUUAUUAGAUCAAAACCGGCCAGACGGCGGCGUUUCGCAUUCGUGCUGCGUCGUCGUUAGCGGCCCGCGCAAAGAUUUGGUGACUCUGAAUAACUUCGAGCUGAUCGCACGGUCCUCGUACCGGCGACGUAUCUUUCAAAUGUCUGCCUUAUCAACUGUCGACGGUAGGUUCGACGCCUACCGUGGUGGUAACGGGUAACGGGGAAUCAGGGUUCGAUUCCGGAGAGGGAGCCUGAGAAACGGCUACCACAUCCAAGGAAGGCAGCAGGCGCGCAAAUUACCCACUCCCAGCUCGGGGAGGUAGUGACGAAAAAUAACGAUACGGGACUCAUUUGAGGCCCCGUAAUCGGAAUGAGUACACUUUAAAACCUUGGUCACACGAGGAUCAAUUGGAGGGCAAGUCUGGUGCCAGCAGCCGCGGUAAUUCCAGCUCCAAUAGCGUAUAUUAAAGUUGUUGCGGUUAAAAAGCUCGUAGUCGGAUCUGUGUCCUCGCGGCGUCGGACCACUGAGUGUUCGCUGGGUAUCGCUUCGCGCGUUCCCGCGAACCAAGUGAAAGUUCCCGGCGUGUCAGCGGGACGUCCUGCCGGUAGGCGGACACGUGCCCUUCGCGGGUGGCGGCCGCCGUUAAAUCUUGUUCGUGCGCGUUCGCCGGUUGAGUCCGCGCGUUCGCGUACGGCGGGCCGGCACGUUUACUUUGAACAAAUUAGAGUGCUCAAAGCAGGCUCGAAAGUGGCGAGGCGUUUUAACGAGCGUCUCGUCGUAUAGCCCUGAAUAUGGUCGCAUGGAAUAAUGGAACAAGACCUCGGUCCCGCCUCUACGCUGCUCGCAGCGCGUGAACGCAGCCCUCGCGGCUCUUCCGUGCGCGGGUUACCGGUCGGGGUAUCGCGUUCGCGUCCGUCUGCACGUCUGUCCACCGUUGCGGCGGUACAGCACGUCAGCGGGUUACGCAUCGUCGAUGUUCAGCCCCGAUCGUUGGCCGGUUUUCGGGACCGGAGGUAAUGAUCAACAGAGACAGGCGUGGGCAUUCGUACCGCGACGUUAGAGGUGAAAUUCUUGGAUCGUCGCGAGACGAACCGAAGCGAAAGCAUUUGCCAAGUAUGUUCUCGUCUGAUCAAGAACGAAAGUUAGAGGUUCGAAGGCGAUCAGAUACCGCCCUAGUUCUAACCGUAAACGAUGCCAGCUAGCGAUCCGCCGGAGUUCCUCCGAUGACCCGGCGGGCAGCUUCCGGGAAACCGAAGCUUUUCGGUUCCGGGGGAAGUAUGGUUGCAAAGCUGAAACUUAAAGGAAUUGACGGAAGGGCACCACCAGGAGUGGAGCCUGCGGCUUAAUUUGACUCAACACGGGAAACCUCACCAGGCCCGGACACCGGAAAGAUUGACAGAUUGAGAGCUCUUUCUUGAUUCGGUGGGUGGUGGUGCAUGGCCGUUCUUAGUUGGUGGAGCGAUCUGUCUGGUUAAUUCCGAUAACGAACGAGACUCUGUCCUGCUAAAUAGGCGGGUCUUUCGCCGCCCGCGGAUCAGCGUGCGACGGUCACAAGCCGUUGUGCCUGCCGCGGUCCACGGCGAAACGGUAUCCCCGAACGUGGCUGGCCGUCGUUAGCGGCGUUCGCGUUGGUCUGCGUCGCUCGUCGGGCGGUUCGCGCCGUUUCGGCGGGUAGCGCGGCCGAUUGUGGGCGUUGCGCGGCGGUUUUACGCCGCCAAUAGGGCUACCGCCGGCUGAUAAAGCUUAAACUCUUCUUAGAGGGACAGGCGGCGGAUAACACUAGCCGCACGAAACUGAGCGAUAACAGGUCUGUGAUGCCCUUAGAUGUUCUGGGCCGCACGCGCGCUACACUGAAGGAAUCAGCGUGUAAUAUUUCCCGGGCCGAGAGGCUUUACCGGGUAACCCGCUGAACCUCCUUCGUGCUAGGGAUCGGGGCUUGCAAUUGUUCCCCGUGAACGAGGAAUUCCCAGUAAGCGCGAGUCAUCAGCUCGCGUUGAUUACGUCCCUGCCCUUUGUACACACCGCCCGUCGCUACUACCGAUUGAACGACCGCAGUGAGGUCUUCGGACCGAGGUACGGCGGCGUUCGCGCCGAUUUGUACAUUCGGGAAGAUGACCGAACUCGGCCGUUUAGAGGAAGUAAAAGUCGUAACAAGGUUUCCGUAGGUGAACCUGCGGAAG
This 2392-nucleotide ribosomal RNA is filed under the name Maconellicoccus hirsutus (hibiscus mealybug). RNAcentral describes it as "SSU rRNA". It matches the Rfam family "Eukaryotic small subunit ribosomal RNA". Lineage: Eukaryota; Metazoa; Arthropoda; Insecta; Hemiptera; Pseudococcidae. The record is from RNAcentral.